UCUUUACAGCUAUUUCAGAUCAAAGUGGAGGAAAGUUACUUCGCGGAUGAAAUUGAAUCUUCUGAUCUUCUUGUGUCAAUGGUAUUGGCCGAUGAUAAAAAUGACGCAUAUUCCAUGAUUAUUCAGCCCCAUCAAAGCCACAGGGUGACUGAAAAAGAACACUCAGUCGUCUACGAGCAAAAUUUCGGCACGGAUAGAUUUCUCUUCUUGAAAAAGGUAAAUGGAGUGUCAAAGCUGCGGACAUUCAAAUUGGAUAAAAACUGGAGACUCAGCAUUGAAAAGUUGAAAACGAAUAGUGCGCAACCAGGAGAAACUGUCCUUCUUGUCAUCGACGAUCCUUUGCUUGCUAACCCGCUUUUUCGGCAAGAGAAGUCUCAAGGGAGCUCAUCGUGUAUAAAACAAGAUGUUACAUCAUUUUGGACGGAAAAGCGCCAAAUUUCUCCCCGCAUAGUCAGAUUUACGGUUCACAAAUUCAGAGGGAUGUGGCUGUGA
This 492-nucleotide long non-coding RNA is filed under the name Bemisia tabaci. RNAcentral describes it as "lncRNA ENSASIAIIG006038". Lineage: Eukaryota; Metazoa; Arthropoda; Insecta; Hemiptera; Aleyrodidae. The record is from RNAcentral.